This 359-nucleotide unclassified non-coding RNA is filed under the name soil metagenome. Its description in RNAcentral is "partial contains 5.8S ribosomal RNA, internal transcribed spacer 2, and large subunit ribosomal RNA". The stretch from base 1 to 120 matches the Rfam family "5.8S ribosomal RNA", at positions 35 to 154 of the family's 154-position model. The record is from RNAcentral.
GAUGAAGAACGCAGCGAAACGCGAUAUGUAAUGUGAAUUGCAGAAUUCAGUGAAUCAUCGAAUCUUUGAACGCACAUUGCGCCUCCUAGUACUCUGGGAGGCAUGCCUGUCCGAGCGUCGUUUCAACCCUCAAGCCCUCGUGGUUUGGCGUUGGAGGUCUACGGGUUCCUCGUAGCCUCCCAAAACCAGUGGCGGACCCGUCGCGGCCCUUCCUUUGCGUAGUAGCAUUCGCCUCGCAUCGGGAGCCCACGGGCUUUUCCUGCCUCUAAACCCCCCACAAGUCCGCUCCGGCGGCACAAGGUUGACCUCGGAUCAGGUAGGAAUACCCGCUGAACUUAAGCAUAUCAAUAAGCGGAGGA